AGCGAACGCUGGCGGCAGGCUUAACACAUGCAAGUCGAACGGGCACCUUCGGGUGUCAGUGGCAGACGGGUGAGUAACACGUGGGAACGUGCCCUUUGGUUCGGAACAACUCCGGGAAAC
Molecule: ribosomal RNA, 120 nt
Filed under: uncultured bacterium
Lineage: Bacteria
Description: partial 16S ribosomal RNA
Rfam family: Bacterial small subunit ribosomal RNA
Source: RNAcentral